This 990-nucleotide ribosomal RNA is filed under the name Triticum aestivum (bread wheat). RNAcentral's name for it is "partial small subunit ribosomal RNA". Lineage: Eukaryota; Viridiplantae; Streptophyta; Magnoliopsida; Poales; Poaceae. The record is from RNAcentral.
AUGGAGGCUGGUGGUGAAUUCAGAAUCUCUGUGUGCCAGAGUGAUCAAGGCAAAAUAUUAUCCACAGGGGCAUAUUUUAGACACAGCUUUCCUGCAGUCGGCUUCUCUCACAUGGCAAGAGAUAAUUGGCUUCCUAGAGCCUCUGGACUUAAAAUCACUGCUAAGAAGAAUAGAACUAGAGUUAAAUGGGUUGAGGAAUUGUUCAUGAGUGGAGAAAGGAGAUGGGAUGAGGAGCUGGUUAGGCAUUUAUUUUACCCUUAUGAUGCGGAUGAGAUUUUGAGGUUGCGGAUCCAAUCAAAUGGGGAGGCAGAUUAUGUUGCUUGGCAUUAUGAAAAGUCAGGGUUGUUCUCAGUUAGGAGUGCGUACAAGUUAGCGCUCACCCUUAAGGAUAAAAAAGAGGAUGAGGGGCAAUCCAGGACGGAGAGGAAAAUUUGGAAUAUUAUUUGGAAGGCAAACAUUCCUCAGAAGAUUCAUAUUUUUGCAUGGAGGGUUGCUUCCAAUAGCUUGGCCGUACAGGAUGAAAAUACCUUCCAUGCGCUUGUCUUGUGCCCGAAGGCGCGUGCACUUCGCAUGCCCAUGAGGAACAUUCGGGCUCUACCUGAUGAGGAGGUUUUCAGAUAUACGAGUUAUUGGGCGUCCUUUGGUGCAUAUCAUUCUCCGAUGCCAGUGGAUUUUCAUAAUAAAGGAAAAGGUCUGUUGGGCCGGAUUAGCGGAGUUCCUAAUUCUCUGGACAUGAGUAGUGGCUGGUCCCCACCUCCUGCAGGUUGGUUCAAGAUUAAUGUUGAUGCUAGCUUCAUGGAGUCCAUUAGAGAAGCCAGUGUGGGGGUGGUAGUCAGGGACGAGGAAGGGGAAGUUAUUGUUUCGUCGUGGGAUUUCAUUGGUGCCUGUCAAAGCGUGGAGGAAGCGGAGCUUAGGGCUUGCAUUGCCGGUCUCUACAUAGCGUCUCAUGCAUCGGGGGACUAUGACAUAGGUCAGCUAUGCGUGACUUGA